CCAGCUUGCUGGGGGAUUAGUGGCGAACGGGUGAGUAACACGUGAGUAACCUGCCCUUAACUCUGGGAUAAGCCUGGGAAACUGGGUCUAAUACCGGAUAUGACUCCUCAUCGCAUGGUGGGGGGUGGAAAGCUUUUUGUGGUUUUGGAUGGACUCGCGGCCUAUCAGCUUGUUGGUGAGGUAAUGGCUCACCAAGGCGACGACGGGUAGCCGGCCUGAGAGGGUGACCGGCCACACUGGGACUGAGACACGGCCCAGACUCCUACGGGAGGCAGCAGUGGGGAAUAUUGCACAAUGGGCGCAAGCCUGAUGCAGCGACGCCGCGUGAGGGAUGACGGCCUUCGGGUUGUAAACCUCUUUCAGUAGGGAAGAAGCGAAAGUGACGGUACCUGCAGAAGAAGCGCCGGCUAACUACGUGCCAGCAGCCGCGGUAAUACGUAGGGCGCAAGCGUUAUCCGGAAUUAUUGGGCGUAAAGAGCUCGUAGGCGGUUUGUCGCGUCUGCCGUGAAAGUCCGGGGCUCAACUCCGGAUCUGCGGUGGGUACGGGCAGACUAGAGUGAUGUAGGGGAGACUGGAAUUCCUGGUGUAGCGGUGAAAUGCGCAGAUAUCAGGAGGAACACCGAUGGCGAAGGCAGGUCUCUGGGCAUUAACUGACGCUGAGGAGCGAAAGCAUGGGGAGCGAACAGGAUUAGAUACCCUGGUAGUCCAUGCCGUAAACGUUGGGCACUAGGUGUGGGGGACAUUCCACGUUUUCCGCGCCGUAGCUAACGCAUUAAGUGCCCCGCCUGGGGAGUACGGCC
This 800-nucleotide ribosomal RNA is filed under the name Arthrobacter sp. Its description in RNAcentral is "bacterial SSU rRNA". It matches the Rfam family "Bacterial small subunit ribosomal RNA", at positions 75 to 887 of the family's 1533-position model. The record is from RNAcentral. Lineage: Bacteria; Bacillati; Actinomycetota; Actinomycetes; Micrococcales; Micrococcaceae.